Molecule: ribosomal RNA, 1245 nt
Filed under: metagenome
Description: SSU rRNA
Rfam family: Eukaryotic small subunit ribosomal RNA
Source: RNAcentral
GAUCUCUUUGAGGCCCGUUAUCGGAAUGAGAACAAUUCAAAUCCUUUAACGAGGAUCUAGCGGAGGGCAAGUCUGGUGCCAGCAGCCGCGGUAAUUCCAGCUCCGCAGGUGUAUAUCUAUGCUGCUGCGGUUAAAAAGCUCGUAGUUGGAUCUGCGUGCUCGGAACUGGUUGGCUCACUGAGUUCAAACUGGCCUCCGGCGCUUUAUUGGCUGGUUUUCCCUUGAUGCUCUUAACCGGGUGUCUUGGGUGGCUAGCACGUUUACUUUAAAAAAAUUAGAGUGCUCAAUACAGGCGUAAAGCCUUGAAUAGUGGUGCAUGGAAUAAUAGAAUAGGACCUCGGCUCUAUUUUGUUGGUUUUCGGAACGCGAGGUAAUGAUUAAGAGGGACAGACGGGGGCAUUCGUAUUGCGACGUUAGAGGUGAAAUUCUUGGAUCGUCGCAAGACGGACGACUGCGAAAGCAUUUGCCAAGAAUGUUUUCAUUAAUCAAGAACGAAAGUUAGAGGUUCGGAGGCGAUCAGAUACCGCCCUAGUUCUAACCGUAAACGAUGCCAACUAGCGAUUCGCAGGCGUUAAACAACGACCUUGCGGGCAGCUUCCCGGAAACGAAAGUGUUCGGGUUCCGGGGGAAGUAUGGUUGCAAAGCUGAAACUUAAAGGAAUUGACGGAAGGGCACCACCAGGAGUGGAGCCUGCGGCUUAAUUUGACCCAACACGGGAAAACUCACCCGGCCCGGACACCGUAAGGAUUGACAGAUUGAGAGCUCUUUCUUGAUUCGGUGGGUGGUGGUGCAUGGCCGUUCUUAGUUGGUGGAGCGAUUUGUCUGGUUUAUUCCGAUAACGAACGAGACUCUGGCCUACUAAAUAGUGGGCGGAUUCUUUCUGUCCGCAACACUUCUUAGAGGGACAAGCGGUGUUCAGCCGCACGAGAUUGAGCAAUAACAGGUCUGUGAUGCCCUUAGAUGUCCGGGGCUGCACGCGCGCUACACUGAAGGAAUCAGCGUGCUUUCUGACCUUGCCCGAAAGGGCUGGGUAACCCGAUGAAAAUCCUUCGUGAUUGGGAUAGGGACUUGCAAUUAUUUCCCUUGAACGAGGAAUUCCCAGUAAGUGUGGGUCAUAAGCUCGCGUUGAUUACGUCCCUGCCCUUUGUACACACCGCCCGUCGCUGCCCGGAACUGAGCCGUUUCGAGAAGAACAGGGACCGUCGUUGAAGGGCCUUAACGGGCUUUUCUCUGAUAGAAACUGUU